RNAcentral lists this transfer RNA (73 nucleotides) under Pateobatis hortlei (Hortle's whipray). RNAcentral's name for it is "tRNA-Thr". It matches the Rfam family "tRNA". Rfam says of the family: Transfer RNA (tRNA) molecules are approximately 80 nucleotides in length. Their secondary structure includes four short double-helical elements and three loops (D, anti-codon, and T loops). Lineage: Eukaryota; Metazoa; Chordata; Chondrichthyes; Myliobatiformes; Dasyatidae. The record is from RNAcentral.
GUUCUGGUAGCUUAGUAUCUAAAGCGUCGGUCUUGUAAACCGAAGACUGGAGAUGAAAUUCCUCCCCAAAACA